Molecule: long non-coding RNA, 200 nt
Organism: Aphidius gifuensis
Lineage: Eukaryota; Metazoa; Arthropoda; Insecta; Hymenoptera; Braconidae
Exons: 2
Source: RefSeq, a predicted model, not a curated record
CGGUGUAAAUUAAAUCAAACAUUUUUGUUCAUCGUUGAAGUACAGUUAUCAUCAACUAAUAAUCAUGUCUCGUUUAUCUCUUUAUUUCCUUGUUGGAAUUGCAACACUUGGUCUCAUUGGUAUUGCAAAAAGCCAACUCCUAUCAUCAGGUUCAGGUGCUACAAUGGACUUCAACGAGUGUUCGCAAGCUAUAAAAGAUA